Molecule: small nuclear RNA, 70 nt
Organism: Eremothecium sinecaudum
Lineage: Eukaryota; Fungi; Ascomycota; Saccharomycetes; Saccharomycetales; Saccharomycetaceae
Source: RefSeq, a predicted model, not a curated record
AUGGCAUCUUCGAAGAUCCCUAUGCUUUCUCUUCCGUAGUAUGUGGAUUCAAAGCGAUGCCUAAAUAAAG